GACGAACGCUGGCGGCGUGCUUAACACAUGCAAGUCGAACGGAAAGGCCCUGCUUUUGUGGGGUGCUCGAGUGGCGAACGGGUGAGUAACACGUGAGUAACCUGCCCUUGACUUUGGGAUAACUUCAGGAAACUGGGGCUAAUACCGGAUAGGAGCUCCUGCUGCAUGGUGGGGGUUGGAAAGUUUCGGCGGUUGGGGAUGGACUCGCGGCUUAUCAGCUUGUUGGUGGGGUAGUGGCUUACCAAGGCUUUGACGGGUAGCCGGCCUGAGAGGGUGACCGGCCACAUUGGGACUGAGAUACGGCCCAGACUCCUACGGGAGGCAGCAGUGGGGAAUAUUGCACAAUGGGCGGAAGCCUGAUGCAGCAACGCCGCGUGCGGGAUGAUGGCCUUCGGGUUGUAAACCGCUUUCGCCUGUGACGAAGCGUGAGUGACGGUAAUGGGUAAAGAAACACCGGCUAACUACGUG
This 468-nucleotide ribosomal RNA is filed under the name uncultured bacterium. RNAcentral describes it as "partial 16S ribosomal RNA". It matches the Rfam family "Bacterial small subunit ribosomal RNA", at positions 28 to 507 of the family's 1533-position model. The record is from RNAcentral.